Molecule: ribosomal RNA, 227 nt
Filed under: Rhizochromulina marina
Lineage: Eukaryota; Dictyochophyceae; Rhizochromulinales
Description: partial Bacterial large subunit ribosomal RNA
Rfam family: Bacterial large subunit ribosomal RNA
Source: RNAcentral
GAGUAGCGGCGAGCGAAACGGGACUAGCCUAAACUUAAUUAUAAAUUAAGGGUAGUGGGACAAUAUUAACGAAUUUAAUGGAACGAUUAGAGGAAUAAGUUUGGAAUACUUAACCAUAGAAAGUGAUAGUCUUGUACUUGAAAAUCGAACCAAUUCAAUUGUAUCCCAAGUAGCAUGGAGCACGUGAAAUUCCGUGUGAAUCUGCGAGGACCACCUCGUAAGGCUAA